RNAcentral lists this ribosomal RNA (232 nucleotides) under uncultured Burkholderiales bacterium. Its description in RNAcentral is "partial 16S ribosomal RNA". It matches the Rfam family "Bacterial small subunit ribosomal RNA", at positions 99 to 334 of the family's 1533-position model. The record is from RNAcentral. Lineage: Bacteria; Pseudomonadati; Pseudomonadota; Betaproteobacteria; Burkholderiales.
CGAACGGGUGAGUAAUACAUCGGAACGUGCCCUGUCGUGGGGGAUAACUAGUCGAAAGAUUAGCUAAUACCGCAUACGACCUGAGGGUGAAAGCGGGGGACCGUAAGGCCUCGCGCGAUAGGAGCGGCAGAUGUCUGAUUAGCUAGUUGGUGGGGUAAAGGCCCACCAAGGCGACGAUCAGUAGCUGGUCUGAGAGGACGAUCAGCCACACUGGGACUGAGACACGGCCCAG